UUUCUGUUUUGAUUGUAGUAAUUUCCUUGUUCUGUUGAUUGAAUCUCUGUUCUCUCUCACCAUGUAGCUUGGUGGGAGCUCAUGCAUCUUAUUGCUGUGAUCUGGACACAAGGCUUGGCACCUGACCUAUUACUGAACAAACAAGUAACAUGAUGUCUUUUGGAGAUAAGUUCAGGAAUGCCUAAGCAAUCAGAGCUGUCUUCACUCCGUGGUGAGAAGCCCACAGAGUCGAGGCCAAGACUGGAGCAAAGCUAGAGUCAUGAUCUUCAAUCUGGAGCUCCCGUUGGGAUGACAGGAACCCAGCUACUCUCCAAUUGCCAUUGCCAGAAGCUGCAAGCAAGAGCCAGAGCUAUGUGCAGAACCCAGUUGAAAAGUAGAGAGAGACACACAGUGAGAGAGAUAUCUUCCAUUUACUGAUUUAUUCCUCAAAUGGAUGCAACAACCAGAGCUGGAAGAGACCAAUGUUUGGAGCAUAAACUCAAUCUGGAUCUCCCAUGUGGGUGGCAAGAAAUCAAGUACUUGAGCCAUCAUCACUUGCUUCUGAAGGAGAACAUAAAUAGGAAUUUAUUGGAAGCAGAGAUGGGACUUAAACCUAGGCAUUCCAGCAUGAGAUGUGGGAGUUCCCAAUGGCAUCUUCUUAUAAACUCAAAUUUAAGCCAAUGUGUAUUUUCUCUCCAAGGCAAAUUUUGAAAUGAUAAGCAAAUAGCUAAGUUUAUUGCUUGGAAUAAAUGCCAUCUUUCUUCUGAAUGCUAAAAAUAAAUAAAUAAAUAAAUAAAACGCUUCAAAACA
Molecule: long non-coding RNA, 789 nt
Organism: Ochotona curzoniae (black-lipped pika)
Lineage: Eukaryota; Metazoa; Chordata; Mammalia; Lagomorpha; Ochotonidae
Exons: 4
Source: RefSeq, a predicted model, not a curated record